UAUGUGUCAAUUUAAACUUAUUUGCAGGUGCGAUUAUGUGGACUCUUGAGUUUUGACCAGAUCUAAACUUAUUCCAGAUUUCGGACUAGUGAAGUUUUCCACCCUGCAACUGUGUAGAUAUGCUGGAAAAGCAAAGAAAAGGCACACCAAGUAAUUAAGGUGUAAUCCUUGUCAUUUUACUGGGCAGGUGCAAUCAUACUCUUUAAAAUGCCGACAUUGCGAGAGUAAAAUAAAGUAUGUUAGGAAUAUUGUUCUUGAAUUGAUUCAGUAAAAAAAUCCUAGUUUAACUCAUGCUUUUGUGUUAAACGACAUACACUCAUAUUAAGGAUUGACGUUCUCAUUUAUCGUAAUGUACAAAUGAUGAGUGUACAAUGGCUACUAAGGGUGUAUAGGUCUAAUUAACAGAUCACAGAAAGGAGAGGAGGAAGCUGAGCUCCGCUCUUUCUUCUGUCUAGGAGAAGUUUCUUUUUCCUUUUUAAAGACUGAACCUUAUAUUGGGUUUGUAGGGAAAAUUUCUCUGCCUCUAUUGAUCGUAUCCUAUUCAGUAGUAUACUACUAGUACCGUGGCAUACCAAUUAUUUGGACAGAUCAAAAGGCAAGUUAAAGAUCAGUUAGAUAAAUGCUACUGUCCUCACACAUCUCACAUCUCAUUUGGCUUCCUACAUACCUGAACACACAUUUAUGCAGUCACACAUCUCACCUUGAUUAGUUUGCAAAUUUUGCUUGGAUAGGUACUAUAUACAGUUGUCUUCUCUAACUUGUUAUACUCGUUCAUUGAAUUUACAGUGUUUGAAUCCUCCAGAGAAUAGAAAGAGGACAUUAGCUAGUGUGAAAAAUGACAACACAACUUGGACUUGCUUCUAUCAACUUGAAUGCCGAGAUCCAAUCAUCACAAGCAUCUUCAUCUGUAACAAACAUCAAUCCUGUGAGCGUUAGUUCAAGAGCCUGUAUUCUAUGGUGUAGUAAAAAGAUAUACGAGAAGUUGUUCCCACUGCUCCUACAAGAAGAUUAAGUUGAAGAAGAAAAUUUCUUGUUCUGGCUGAUGAUUAUUGCCAUUCAAUUUACCCGUAUUUUUUAUUCCAUAUAAUUGUUAUGGCUCUGGUGCUUAAUUUCCACUGGAUUUCUUGUUGUUUUUAAAAGAUAUAUGCUAUACAUGUCUCUUCCAGUGUCUUUUGUGGAUGCAUUUCUUAAAUGAACUAUUUUUGUUAUGAUGGCAUCUCUUAG
RNAcentral lists this long non-coding RNA (1224 nucleotides) under Triticum aestivum (bread wheat). Its description in RNAcentral is "long non-coding RNA (TAES_LNC008428)". The record is from RNAcentral. Lineage: Eukaryota; Viridiplantae; Streptophyta; Magnoliopsida; Poales; Poaceae.